This is a non-coding RNA of Danio rerio (zebrafish), 1236 nucleotides long. The record is from RefSeq and is a predicted model, not a curated record. NCBI's taxonomy places the organism in Eukaryota, Metazoa, Chordata, Actinopteri, Cypriniformes, Danionidae.
CUCAUCUCGAGCCCCUGGAUAACCUUCUCCACCCAACUUGGAGAUCAUUGGACAGAAUGAAGGUGAUGAUUGUAGCUCUUCUCCUCAUUGUAGCUGCUCUACAGGAUCACAGAGUCGCUGCUGAUGAACAGAUAGUUCCACUGGGGGUGACACCGAAACCAAGUAACUUGAACUUUUCAGUGACAUCCACAAAACCGAAGUGCAUCAAAAAAACAUUGACAUUUGACGUGAACGGAUUUUGUAGAUGCUCUCUUCAAAAACUGUUUCCCUCACAUUCAAUGUAUAGUAUCUUAGAGUUAGCGGAUCAGCCAGACCCGAUUCACUGUUUAAGCAAUCAAUGUAGAUAUCGCCAGACAUACAGAGCCUUGGCACUGAUGAAUGAGCAAUGGAAAAGAGCCAUAAUAUCCAUGUGCCGAAGUUUUAGCACUAUCAGAGAAAACACAAAUAAAACACUGCUUCUUGCUCAGCCCGAUAUUGACCAUAGGUGCAGAAAUCGGAGUUGCAAACGGUUCUUGAGUUCCUUGAAAAUCGACACUGAGAAAGUGACAUUUCUACGGCCCUGCUGUAGAUCUUAACACUGGAACUACCAGGAUCUGUAACUAUUGAAAUUAUAGACAUCCCAGUGUAACAGGGUUAAAAUAAUGUUUAAUUGUCUUUCACUAAAAUGGGUUAUUUUGUUUAUUUUGUGGCUGUUGAGAGACCUCUUGUGGCAACAGUGUGUAAUUGUUUCUUUCACCUUUCACCUGCAAAGCCCCGCCUACAGCAGAAAAUGGUUGCUGAAUGCAGAAAGGCGGUAGGUAAAAUGUGCUCCAGCUAAAUGUGACAAAUUUUGUAUUUUAACACAUAUUAAUAACACAUACAAGUCCAAAUUGAACAUUAAGUGAUGUUUUAGAUUAAAUCUGUCGAGUGAUUGCCGUGUGUGACAAACUUUGUGUGGUUUAAUUUGCUCAUGCUACGUGUAGCUGGAAUGAUGACAUUAAUAUGUUGAGGGGUGAUUUCUUACUAUUUGUUUGGUUUUUUUAGAUGCAUGUUUAAAUGCAUACUGUUGCCAGAGGAUGUAUAUUUCUGUUACAGGUAUGUUGAACUUUUGUAAAUAAAUAAUGUUUUGUUAAAAUGACUUUAUGUGGCAACACAGCAGAAAAUGGUUGCUGAAUGCAGAAAGGCGAUGCAUGUUUAAAUGCAUACUGUUGCCAGAGGAUGUAUAUUUCUGUUACAGAAUAAACAACGCAGAACGCA